AGCGACCCCAGGUCAGGCGGGGCUACCCGCUGAGUUUUAACCUAUUAAUUAAC
This 53-nucleotide ribosomal RNA is filed under the name Hoya caudata. RNAcentral describes it as "partial 26S ribosomal RNA". The record is from RNAcentral. Lineage: Eukaryota; Viridiplantae; Streptophyta; Magnoliopsida; Gentianales; Apocynaceae.